This 662-nucleotide ribosomal RNA is filed under the name uncultured bacterium. Its description in RNAcentral is "bacterial SSU rRNA". It matches the Rfam family "Bacterial small subunit ribosomal RNA", at positions 186 to 849 of the family's 1533-position model. The record is from RNAcentral.
CCGCAUGGGGAUAUUUGCUAAAGAUUCAUCGCUGAUAGAUAGGCAUGCGUUCCAUUAGGCAGUUGGCGGGGUAACGGCCCACCAAACCGACGAUGGAUAGGGGUUCUGAGAGGAAGGUCCCCCACAUUGGUACUGAGACACGGACCAAACUCCUACGGGAGGCAGCAGUGAGGAAUAUUGGUCAAUGGGCGCGAGCCUGAACCAGCCAAGUCGCGUGAGGGAUGAAGGUUCUAUGGAUCGUAAACCUCUUUUAUAAGGGAAUAAAGUGUGGGACGUGUCCUAUUUUGUAUGUACCUUAUGAAUAAGGAUCGGCUAACUCCGUGCCAGCAGCCGCGGUAAUACGGAGGAUCCGAGCGUUAUCCGGAUUUAUUGGGUUUAAAGGGUGCGUAGGCGGCCUUUUAAGUCAGCGGUGAAAGUCUGUGGCUCAACCAUAGAAUUGCCGUUGAAACUGGGGGGCUUGAGUAUGUUUGAGGCAGGCGGAAUGCGUGGUGUAGCGGUGAAAUGCUUAGAUAUCACGCAGAACCCCGAUUGCGAAGGCAGCCUGCCAAGCCAUGACUGACGCUGAUGCACGAAAGCGUGGGGAUCAAACAGGAUUAGAUACCCUGGUAGUCCACGCAGUAAACGAUGAUCACUAGCUGUUUGCGAUACAGUGUAAGCGGCCA